Molecule: long non-coding RNA, 6118 nt
Filed under: Macaca nemestrina (pig-tailed macaque)
Lineage: Eukaryota; Metazoa; Chordata; Mammalia; Primates; Cercopithecidae
Description: lncRNA (ENSMNEG00000046121.1)
Source: RNAcentral
AUGCAGGUGUUCUUUAUACAUUUUCCUACAGGGCUCCUCUGUGGAGAAAUCCGAAAAGCAUAUGUAGAAUUUGUCAAUGUCAGCAAAUGUCCACUUACUGGAUUGAAGGUUGUUUCUAAACGUCCAGAGUUCUUUACUUUCGGUGGUAAUACUGCUGUUCUAACACCACUGAGUCCCUCAGCUUCUGAAAAUUGUAGUGCUUACAAGACUGUUGUGACAGAUGCUACCUCUGUGUGUACAGCACUCAUAUCAUCAGCUUCUUCUGUAGACUUUGGCAUUGGCACAGGAAGUCAACCAGAGGUGAUUCCUGUUCCCCUUCCUGACACUGUUCUUCUACCUGGAGCCUCAGUGCAGCUGCCGAUGUGGUUACGUGGGCCUGAUGAAGAAGGUGUCCAUGAAAUUAACUUUUUGUUUUACUAUGAAAGUGUCAAAAGGCAGCCAAAAAUACGGCACAGAAUAUUAAGACACACUGCGAUUAUUUGUACCAGUCGGUCUUUAAAUGUACGGGCCACUGUCUGCAGAAGUAAUUCUCUUGAAAAUGAAGAAGGCAGAGGAGGCAAUAUGCUAGUCUUUGUGGAUGUGGAAAAUACCAAUACUAGUGAAGCAGGUGUUAAGGAAUUCCAUAUAGUGCAAGUAUCAAGUAGUAGCAAACACUGGAAGUUACAGAAAUCUGUAAAUCUUUCUGAAAACAAAGAUGCCAAACUUGCCAGUAGGGAGAAGGGAAAGUUUUGCUUUAAGGCAAUCAGAUGUGAGAAAAAAGAAGCGGCCACACAGUCCUCUGAAAAAUAUACCUUUGCAGAUAUCAUCUUUGGAAAUGAACAGAUAAUAAGUUCAGCAAGCCCGUGUGCAGACUUCUUUUAUCGAAGUUUAUCUUCUGAAUUGAAAAAACCACAAGCUCACUUGCCUGUGCAUACAGAAAAACAGUCAACAGAGGAUGCUGUGAGAUUGAUUCAAAAAUGCAGUGAGGUGGAUUUGAAUAUUGUCAUAUUAUGGAAGGCAUAUGUUGUGGAAGAUAGUAAACAGCUUAUUUUGGAAGGUCAACAUCAUGUUAUUCUUCGCACUAUAGGAAAAGAAGCCUUUUCAUAUCCUCAGAAACAGGAACCACCAGAAAUGGAACUAUUGAAAUUUUUCAGGCCAGAAAACACUACAGUUUCCUCAAGACCAUCAGUAGAGCAGCUUUCUAGUCUCAUUAAAACGAGUCUUCAUUACCCAGAAUCAUUUAAUCAUCCAUUUCAUCAAAAAAGCCUUUGUUUAGUACCAGUCACCCUUUUGCUUUCCAAUUGUUCUAAGGCUGAUGUAGAUGUCAUAGUUGAUCUUCGGCAUAAAACAACAAGUCCAGAAGCACUGGAAAUCCAUGGGUCAUUCACGUGGCUUGGACAAACACAAUAUAAACUUCAACUUAAAAGCCAGGAGAUUCAUAGUCUGCAGCUGAAAGCGUGCUUUGUUCAUACAGGUGUUUAUAACCUUGGAACUCCUAGGGUAUUUGCCAAGUUAUCGGACCAAGUUACAGUGUUUGAAACAAGUCAGCAGAAUUCCAUGCCUGCCCUGAUCAUCAUCAAUAAUGUGUGACAACUUGGACAUUUGUACUGAAAUCCACGAUAAUCAGUUUGUGCUGGAUGGGCUUUACAGCAGUAUUUGAUAUACCUAACUUGUUAUGGAGGUUGAUUGAUAUCUUAUCCCUGCAAAAUACUUUGACUUGUCAUUUUGUUUAUGAUGCAAAGCACGUUGGACUGAGAAUACUUAUAUUCUUUUCUGUAUUUCUUUAAACCCUGAGAAUAAUUUACAUGCUCAUAAUACAGGAUUUCAACAUUUAUCUGUGCACCUUAUUAAGCCCCAUCUUAAGAAAACACAAAGUCUAAGUCUGCUGUUACAACUUGUCAAUGGCAUAUGAAUAUUAGGAGAUGAUUCUGAGAAAGGAAAGGCGUUGGCAGUACUCCUGUUAAGCCAUUAGUCUCUAAAUUCCAGCUUUACUGUGAAGUUCUAUAGAGUGUUAAAUACAAAUUUUCCUGUCUUGCUUCACACAGUUCCUUAAAAUCAGUUUUGAACUUUGGUCAUAGAGUCUUCAUAUUUCAGUAUCUGGUGGUCCCUAUGGCUUAUACAUAACUUUGUAAAAAGAAAAAAAAAAUUUUUCUGAUGCUUUGAAUAUAGUUUUGAAAGGAGUUUUGACUUUUUUCCCCCUCAUUCAUCUCAGUAGAGUGUACUAUUUCACAAUACAAUUUUUGUCAUUAAAAUUAUCAUAUUCUUUAUUAUAUAACGUUAACAAUUGAGUUGAUCUGUUUAAAAUAUAAAUCUCAAGUUAAUUAAAAAUAAGCUUUUCAAAAAUGUAUUAUAUUUAUAACAAAUGUACUGUAAAUAGAAUAAAGACAUGCUAUUCACUGUAUAGAGUAUCUGUUGAUUAGAAAGUCUGGUUUCAAAAUAACUUUUUAUUCAGCGAAUGGGCAUUUGGACAUAGGAAAGUUCAAUUCAGCCCUGCUGCAGAUAAAGAAAUGGGAGCAAGGGUGUUUCAAAUGAAGCUCUCUUGUAAUUGGAGAAGGAGGGAAGACAGGGUGUAGGGGUGGGUGGCAGGGAGUACAAGAGCCAGGGUCAGCCAAGUCUGGAGCAGAUGGGGUCCUUGUGCCAUUGACAGCUACCAUGGUUUGUUCCAUCUCAAUCCCGGCACUAAUCAGAGCAUACCGCACCAAAGUGGGGAGAGAUCAAAAGACCCCGUUUUCAGACAGAAGAUUCCAAACUUGUACUUGAAACAACUCUUCUUGAGAGAGGGGUGGUUAGUCUGUGUGCCUCUCUGCAACUGCUGCUUAUGCUUCUGGAUCUAAAGUGGGUCUCUGGCUUCUCAGCUCCUUCCACUCUGUGUCUUAGCAGGUGUGGGACAAGGUGGAGAGGAAGGUCACAUUCUAAGGACACUCAUUCCCUUCUUGAGAGUUUAGGGCCAUGGGCUUAUAAAAAAGUCUGAGGAGCAAAGGAAUAACAAGAAUGAGAAGGAGGCAUAAUCACAGUGGUAUCUCAUAUUUAAACCACUCAGCUGAAUAUUAAAUUGAACAGAUUGUUAGACACUAAUAAAAAAAUUAAACUACAUAAACCUACAACUGAAUAUAUUAAAAGUAAAGGUAAUAAAGCACUCAAAAUUACCUUGUAAAUAUUACUCAAGAUUAUUUCUAUUGCAUCUGUAUCCUGGAAAUAUGUAAUGGUGUGUUUCUGCUCAUCUCUUGCCAACCCCGCAUUCAGUGACUUGCUGGUAGCUUGAAAUCGAUAAUAGUGGAAUGUUUACCUCAGGAAAAUCGGCAAAUGCUAUACACCAGGGCUUGAUUUAUUUUUGUUGUCUAUGCUAGACCUAAGAAAGUGUUGGAGAAAAUGUUAGUGAUGCGUAUUAAAUUUAAAAGUGUUGCGUAUUUGUAGCUAUUAGGAGUAGCACAAAUAGUUUAGGAAAAUAUUCCUGCAGUAUCUGAAAAGUGUUAACACUUUUCAACUGUUAACCCAGUUCAACAAAGAAGUUGCCUAUAUCACUGAUGAACUAGUGAAGAUCCAACAUGUGUUUUCUCACUUCCUCUUCCUCCUUAAUAGAAACAAAAAUAUCAACCAGCAUUCAUACUAAAAUUAUUCUUGCUUAUCAGUUGCAACAUAGGUUUGUUUUCUAUACAAGAGCUCAGCAAAAAUCAAACUACCCUGAGAAUCAAUUGACUUUUUGGAAUUUACAAAAGAGUAUUGCAUAUUUUAUUUUACUUGUAAAGUGUGUGCUAUACAAACUUUACACAAACGCAGUUUAAAAGAUUUUUUUUUCCCCCUGGAGAAUAAUUUGAUAAACAUUCAUCAGCGUACCUCUGGGCGUAGACCAUGAGAAAUAUUCUGACGUCUACAUUGCAGUUGGCCAAGAACUAAGGAAUCUUAUGGAAUCUUCCAGCUUUUAGAACCCAGUAGAGCAGUGGUUCUCAAAAUGUAGGCACAUAAUCAUUAGGGCAUUACUAAAAGUGUAAUAACAGAGGUUCUACCUCCUUAACCCAAUUUUGUUGGUCUGGUUUGGGGAUGAAACUUUGUUUUUGUUGUGAAUUUCCAUUUGUUUUCAAGUCUGGAUUUUAACAAGCCCCGGUUCUGAAGAAAGGAUCUGCAUGGUACACUUUGGGAAACAUUGUCCCAGGAAGCCUGAGAAGCACUUUAUAACGUCGAUUGAAUUGUCAGGCACAUCAUGGAAAUGUUAAUCUUUCAAAGUUCUAGGUAGCUAGGCCAGUGUUUUAAACACAUGCCCCUAAGAUAUUGAUUUGUUCAAAGAGUAAUUUUCUACUUCAAGGAUAUUGAAAUAUUGAGUUUCUGGUAGCUCAUUUGUUCAGUUAGGUUAAACAUUUAAUAAGGCUGGGGUUGACAAUCUCAGCUUGCCUAUCAAUUUUAUUAUUUCUUGGCUAUUGAUCAGAACUAUGAACUCUUACAAAGGUUUUGGUGUUGGUUGGCCUAUUUUGCCAUUCACAAUUAUUAGGUUCUUUUGGGCAGAUACAUGCAGUCCCUACUAGGUAUAGGUAGAUGAGAGUUAUAGAUAAGAUGACCACAUAAGUUUUCAUCCCAAAUGAGACAUUUUGAGAAUGAAGGAGGGCACUAUUAACAAUUACAAUUAUGGGGACAAUGGGAUAAACUGGGUCUGUUCUGGGCACCGAGAUGUAGGGGCCAAGGGAACGCUUCCCCUCUGCCUUCAAAAUGUUCACUGAAAAUAAACUGACAAUAAGCGGAUAUAGAAAAAGGCAUGUGAAACUUAUUUAACCUGCUUAAGCACAGGGGAGUCACAUGAGAAUGAUUUCCCAGUAACCCAGUGAGGUCCAGAUGCUACUAUACACUUCACAGGGGAAAGGGAGACUUGAGGUGUGGCAAUUUUGAGGAGUAGUAAAUGAUUGUUAGUGGAGGUGAAUGAACCUGGAGGCAGUAACCUGUAAAUGAUUCUCUUUGGAAUUUGAAUGAGCCCAAGAGGCAAACAUUGUCAGGCCUCUGAGCCCAAGCUAAGCCAUAAUAUCCCCUGUGACCUGCAUAUAUACAUCCAGAUGGCCUGAAGCAACUGAAGAAUCACAAAAGAAGUGAAAAUGGCCGGUUCCUGAUGACAUUACCUUGUGAAAUUCCUUCUGCUGGCUCAGAAGCUCCCUGACUGAGCACCUUGUGACCCCUGCCCCUGCCUGCCAGAGAACAUCGCCUUUGACUGUAAUUUUCCACUACCCACCCAAAUCCUAUAAAACGGCCCCACCCCCAUCUACCUUUACUGACUCUCUUUUCGGACUCAGCCCACCUGCACCCAGGUGAAAUAAACAGCCUUGUUCCUCACACAAAGCCUGUUUGGUGGUCUCUUCACAUGGACGCACAUGACAUUUGGUGCCACAGACCCGGACUUCUUUGGGACACCAGUCCCCUGUCCUCUCCCUCACUCUGUGAGGAGAUCCACCUACAACCUCGAGUCCUCAGACCAACUAGCCCAAGGAACAUCUCACCAAUUUCAAAUCGGGUAAGCUGUCUUUUCACCUCUUCUCCAGCCUCUCUUGCUACCCUUCAAUCUUCCUCUCUCACUACCCUUCAGUCUCCCUGUCCUUCCAAUUCCAGUUCUUUUUCCUCUCUAUUAGAGACAAAGGAGACACGUUUUAUCCAUGGACCCAAAACUCCAGCACCAGUCACAGACUCAAGAAGACAGUCUUCCCUUGGUGUUUAAUCAUGCAGGGACGCCUGCCUGAUCAUUCACCCACACUCCACCGGUGUCUGAUCACCACGGGGACGCCUGCCUGAUCAUUCACCCACACUCCACCGGUGUCUGAUCACCGCGGGGACGCCUGCCUGACUAUUCACCCACACUCCACCGGUGUCUGAUCACCGCCGGGACGCCUGCCUGACUAUUCACCCACACUCCACCGGUGUCUGAUCACCGCGGGGACGCCUGCCUGAUCAUUCACCCACACUCCACCGGUGUCUGAUCACCGCGGGGACGCCUGCCUUGAUCAUUCACCCACAUUCCCUUGGUGGCAAGUCAAUUGGAGGGACACGUGCUUUAGCUGCUCACCACCCCCCUUCUCCGUGUCUCUACCCUCUCUUUUCUCUUGGCUUGCCUCCUUCACUAUGGGCAACCUUCCACCCUCCAUUCCCGCUUCUUCUCCCUUAGCCUGUG